This is a long non-coding RNA of Aedes albopictus (Asian tiger mosquito), 678 nucleotides long. RefSeq lists it as uncharacterized. NCBI's taxonomy places the organism in Eukaryota, Metazoa, Arthropoda, Insecta, Diptera, Culicidae. The transcript has 2 exons. The record is from RefSeq and is a predicted model, not a curated record.
AAUCAGUGAAAUGAAAUGACAGAUGCGACGAACAAGAAAAGAAACGACGAAGCAACCUGAGCUUUAGCCCUUCUCGAUUUCAGUUCGCUCGUUCUUCUUUUGACGGAUUUGAGCAUGAGCAUGAGCAUGAGCAUAGAUGACCGUACAAUUCGUAGUUGCUACUCCGUGAUUGACCAGAACAAUCGAAAUUGCACAAGGAACCAACAAACGGAGCUUGGGAUUAACUACCGCUCUCAAUGUGCACAGUUCGAGAAUUCCAGACUUUAUUAGUCAAUAACGGCGCCGGCCACGUCCUUACGGUCAUCGAGGAAGGAAAGGAAUGUUAGUGUGACGUACAUUGCUACUAGAGACCGAGAUCACCUCAUUUUCUCCACGACUGUCACGGGAAGGAGUUUUUGUUAGUGAGGAGGGGGAGAGUCACAUGAUUUGGAUUCACUUUGAUGUCGACACCGAAGAUGACGAACCAUUCAAAUUCUUGUGUAAAUGCAAAAAAUGAAAGAAAGAUAUUUAUUAUCAACUGAAUGUGCAUUGGAAACUAGCGCCGACACAUGACGUGACGAACUUUUCAAUAUUUGUUAGAUAAAUACACAAAAACCAGAGCAGAAUUUUAUACAUCCUUUAGCAGUAAUUAUUAUGAUAAAAUGGAACGAGCUCACCAAUAAACAUCCUUCGAAGUGU